Scomber japonicus (chub mackerel) is the source of this 256-nucleotide long non-coding RNA. RefSeq lists it as uncharacterized. The transcript is spliced from 3 exons. Lineage: Eukaryota; Metazoa; Chordata; Actinopteri; Scombriformes; Scombridae. The record is from RefSeq and is a predicted model, not a curated record.
GUAGGUAGGUAGGUAGGUAGAUAGGUAGGGAGAUAGGGAGGGAGGUAGUCACUUUAUUGAUCCCAAUGGGAAAUGUGGGUUCCCAGCAGCUCAAUAAAAGCCAUAAAGCAACGAACAACAAACAGAGAAUUAAAAGGCAAUAAAAAGAGAGAGAAGGGAAGUGACUACAUCCGGAGAUGACAAAUAAAAAGUACACUGGAGAAGCAGGGAGAGUAACAGUGAAAAAAGAAGAAGUGGAAAAGUAGGAACGGCCGGA